Molecule: long non-coding RNA, 559 nt
Filed under: Pongo abelii (Sumatran orangutan)
Lineage: Eukaryota; Metazoa; Chordata; Mammalia; Primates; Hominidae
Description: lincRNA
Source: RNAcentral
AGCUUGAGAAUCCCAGCAUAGCCAGGCCAUGUGAAGUAGCAGACACGCUGUGAGUGACAAGAGAUUACAGCGAGCUCAGAAGUAGAGCAAGGAAAACAUGAAGAAUGGGGAAAGUAGCUGCCGCAUGCCAAUGCGAAACUCCGAGGAGUCUAGCCAUUCUGAUCUGGCCUUCCAGGUCAUUAGGAGGCUCUGCCAUCACGUGAAGAGGUAUGACAUAUUUUAUCUAGCGGUUUGUUAGCUUGCUUUAAAACUUUUAAUAUUUAGACAUUUGGUUUGUGACCCUGCCAGGGAGAGUCUGCUGUCUGGAGAGCACACUGGUCUCCAGUGUGGGGAGAGAGAGCAUUUUCCGGCUUUGCUGAGGAGGGUCUUCGGAAAAAAGAGUGAGUGGGCAUCUCCUCGCACAGGUGCUUGGCUUGCUAGACCUAGGGUCAUUCUCACAUCACCUUUUCAGCUGAGGAAACUGAAAGUCUCAAGGUCACGCAGCUGGGAAUAUAUGACCAAAUGGCCUUCACCUUCCCCUAAAUGAUAAGUUUCAAAUGACAAAAUAAGGGGACAAGGA